GACGAACGCUGGCGGCGUGCUUAACACAUGCAAGUCGAACGGAAAGGCCCUGCUUUUGUGGGGUGCUCGAGUGGCGAACGGGUGAGUAACACGUGAGUAACCUGCCCUUGACUUUGGGAUAACUUCAGGAAACUGGGGCUAAUACCGGAUAGGAGCUCCUGCUGCAUGGUGGGGGUUGGAAAGUUUCGGCGGUUGGGGAUGGACUCGCGGCUUAUCAGCUUGUUGGUGGGGUAGUGGCUUACCAAGGCUUUGACGGGUAGCCGGCCUGAGAGGGUGACCGGCCACAUUGGGACUGAGAUGCGGCACGGACUCCUACGGGAGGCAGCAGUGGGGAAAAUUGCACAAUGGGCGGAAGCCUGAUGCAGCAACGCCGCGUGCGGGAUGACGGCCUUCGGGUUGUAAACCGCUUUCGCCUGUGACGAAGCGUGAGUGACGGUAAUGGGUAAAGAAGCACCGGCUAACUACGUG
This 468-nucleotide ribosomal RNA is filed under the name uncultured bacterium. Its description in RNAcentral is "partial 16S ribosomal RNA". It matches the Rfam family "Bacterial small subunit ribosomal RNA", at positions 28 to 507 of the family's 1533-position model. The record is from RNAcentral.